GAUAUCUACUAAUUAGGUUAGGCAGUAUUCUUCUGAGUUAUUGGGGUUGGUGGGUACCGUCUCGGUGAUGCGUUGGUGUCUGGCCGAGAUAAGGUCUUCAGCUAACUGGGCAUGUUCUACUCGGCGUACGAGCUAAGUCUCAGCAUUGCUACCUAGUUGUAGAUAUCGACACAAAGGCCCUUCAAAAACUUCUUAACUUUGUGACUCUCAAGAGUGACCAUUAACAGGGCGGACCUAGACAACUGAAUAAAUCAAACUGCAUA
This 263-nucleotide long non-coding RNA is filed under the name Carica papaya (papaya). RNAcentral's name for it is "long non-coding RNA (CPAP_LNC003893)". Lineage: Eukaryota; Viridiplantae; Streptophyta; Magnoliopsida; Brassicales; Caricaceae. The record is from RNAcentral.